This is a long non-coding RNA of Vicia villosa (hairy vetch), 286 nucleotides long. RefSeq lists it as uncharacterized. The transcript has 3 exons. NCBI's taxonomy places the organism in Eukaryota, Viridiplantae, Streptophyta, Magnoliopsida, Fabales, Fabaceae. The record is from RefSeq and is a predicted model, not a curated record.
CAGGUUUUACAUUAAAGAGGAGAAAUAAUGGAACAGGCAGAGGGAAUAUUUCAUCAUCAUUGAAGGAUGCCUUUCCUUUAUUGUAACUCAAACCAUCGGUGCUUGGUGCUUCUUGACGCUGCGCGACUACCUCUACCGCAAAUCAUCUCCUUUCCCUUUUGAAUCGAUCUACUAUUGGUAAUAAUGAAUAUAAAGAGAAAGGAAGAGAUAUGUUAGAGACAUGGACAUGAGUUUUCUUAUUUUAAGUUACUAAAAGGUUGUUAAUUUAUUUUUCUUAUGUUUUUAG